AGCGAACGCUGGCGGCAGGCCCAACACAUGCAAGUCGAGCGGGCGUAGCAAUACGUCAGCGGCAGACGGGAGAGUAACACGUGGGAACGUGCCCUUUGGUUCGGAAUAACUCAGGGAAACUUGAGCUAAUACCGGAUAAGCCCUUCGGGGGAAAGAUUUAUUGCCAUUGGAGCGGCCCGCGUCGGAUUAGCUAGUUGGUGAGGUAAUGGCUCACCAAGGCGACGAUCCGUAGCUGGUCUGAGAGGAUGACCAGCCUCACUGGGACUGAGACACGGCCCAGACUCCUACGGGAGGCAGCAGUGGGGAAUAUUGGACAAUGGGCGCAAGCCUGAUCCAGCCAUGCCGCGUGGAUGAUGAAGGCCCUAGGGUUGUAAAGUCCUAUUAACGGGGAAGAUAAUGACGGUACCCGUAGAAUAAGCCCCGGCUAACUUCGUGCCAGCCGCCGCCGUAC
Molecule: ribosomal RNA, 451 nt
Filed under: uncultured bacterium
Lineage: Bacteria
Description: partial 16S ribosomal RNA
Rfam family: Bacterial small subunit ribosomal RNA
Source: RNAcentral